UUUAAAUUUAGAGUUUGAUCCUGGCUCAGGACGAACGCUGGCGGCGUGCUUAACACAUGCAAGUCGAGCGAUGAAGCUUCCUUCGGGAAGUGGAUUAGCGGCGGACGGGUGAGUAACACGUGGGUAACCUGCCUCAAAGUGGGGGAUAGCCUUCCGAAAGGAAGAUUAAUACCGCAUAAUAUAAGAGAAUCGCAUGAUUUUCUUAUCAAAGAUUUAUUGCUUUGAGAUGGACCCGCGGCGCAUUAGCUAGUUGGUAAGGUAACGGCUUACCAAGGCAACGAUGCGUAGCCGACCUGAGAGGGUGAUCGGCCACAUUGGAACUGAGACACGGUCCAGACUCCUACGGGAGGCAGCAGUGGGGAAUAUUGCGCAAUGGGGGAAACCCUGACGCAGCAACGCCGCGUGGGUGAUGAAGGUCUUCGGAUUGUAAAGCCCUGUUUUCUAGGACGAUAAUGACGGUACUAGAGGAGGAAGCCACGGCUAACUACGUGCCAGCAGCCGCGGUAAUACGUAGGUGGCGAGCGUUGUCCGGAUUUACUGGGCGUAAAGGGUGCGUAGGCGGAUGUUUAAGUGGGAUGUGAAAUCCCCGGGCUUAACCUGGGGGCUGCAUUCCAAACUGGAUAUCUAGAGUGCAGGAGAGGAAAGCGGAAUUCCUAGUGUAGCGGUGAAAUGCGUAGAGAUUAGGAAGAACACCAGUGGCGAAGGCGGCUUUCUGGACUGUAACUGACGCUGAGGCACGAAAGCGUGGGUAGCAAACAGGAUUAGAUACCCUGGUAGUCCACGCCGUAAACGAUGGAUACUAGGUGUAGGGGGUAUCAACUCCCCCUGUGCCGCAGUUAACACAAUAAGUAUCCCGCCUGGGGAGUACGGUCGCAAGAUUAAAACUCAAAGGAAUUGACGGGGGCCCGCACAAGCAGCGGAGCAUGUGGUUUAAUUCGAAGCAACGCGAAGAACCUUACCUGGACUUGACAUCCCUUGCAUAGCCUAGAGAUAGGUGAAGCCCUUCGGGGCAAGGAGACAGGUGGUGCAUGGUUGUCGUCAGCUCGUGUCGUGAGAUGUUAGGUUAAGUCCUGCAACGAGCGCAACCCUUGUUAUUAGUUGCUACCAUUAAGUUGAGCACUCUAAUGAGACUGCCUGGGUAACCAGGAGGAAGGUGGGGAUGACGUCAAAUCAUCAUGCCCCUUAUGUCCAGGGCUACACACGUGCUACAAUGGUAGGUACAAUAAGACGCAAGACCGUGAGGUGGAGCAAAACUUAUAAAACCUAUCUCAGUUCGGAUUGUAGGCUGCAACUCGCCUACAUGAAGCUGGAGUUGCUAGUAAUCGCGAAUCAGAAUGUCGCGGUGAAUACGUUCCCGGGCCUUGUACACACCGCCCGUCACACCAUGAGAGCUGGUAACACCCGAAGUCCGUGAGGUAACCGUAAGGAGCCAGCGGCCGAAGGUGGGAUUAGUGAUUGGGGUGAAG
This 1466-nucleotide ribosomal RNA is filed under the name Clostridium botulinum. Its description in RNAcentral is "bacterial SSU rRNA". It matches the Rfam family "Bacterial small subunit ribosomal RNA". The record is from RNAcentral. Lineage: Bacteria; Bacillati; Bacillota; Clostridia; Eubacteriales; Clostridiaceae.